CCCCUUAGAGUUUGAUCAUGGCUCAAAACGAACGCUGGCGGCAUGCCUAAUACAUGCAAGUCGAACGAACACUUCGGUGUUAGUGGCGCACGGGUGCGUAACGCGUGGGAAUCUACCCUUGGGUUCGGAAUAACAGUUAGAAAUGACUGCUAAUACCGGAUGAUGACGUAAGUCCAAAGAUUUAUCGCCCAAGGAUAACCCCGCGUAGGAUUAGCUUGUUGGUGAGGUAAAAGCUCACCAAGGCGACGAUCCUUAGCUGGUCUGAGAGGAUGAUCAGCCACACUGGGACUGAGACACGGCCCACACUCCUACGGGAGGCAGCAGUAGGGAAUAUUGGACAAUGGGGGAAACCCUGAUCCAGCAAUGCCGCGUGAGUGAUGAAGGCCUUAGGGUUGUAAAGCUCUUUUACCCGAGAUGAUAAUGACAGUAUCGGGAGAAUAAGCUCCGGCUAACUCCGUGCCAGCAGCCGCGGUAAUACGGAGGGAGCUAGCGUUGUUCGGAAUUACUGGGCGUAAAGCGCACGUAGGCGGCGAUCUAAGUCAGAGGUGAAAGCCCGGGGCUCAACCCCGGAAUUGCCUUUGAGACUGGAUUGCUAGAAUCCGGGAGAGGUGAGUGGAAUUCCGAGUGUGGAGGUGAAAUUCGUAUAUAUUCGGAAGAACACCAGUGGCGAACGCGGCUCACUGGACCGGCAUUGACGCUGAGGUGCGAAAGCGUGGGAGCAAACAAGAUUAGAUACCCUGCUACUCCACGCCGUAACGGUGGGCGCUAGGGUGUGGGCUCCCUUCCACGGAUCCGUGCAGUAGCUAACGCAUAGCGGCCCGCUUGAGAGUACCGCAGCAAGCUAUACUCAGAGUAAUCGACGGCGCCCGCACAGCGCGAAGCAUGUGAAUCAAUUCGAAUGCACGUAAUCUAGCUGAUGACUAUACCGGAAAGCUGACAAGAUGAGACUCGUGUC
RNAcentral lists this ribosomal RNA (955 nucleotides) under uncultured bacterium. RNAcentral's name for it is "bacterial SSU rRNA". It matches the Rfam family "Bacterial small subunit ribosomal RNA", at positions 1 to 1014 of the family's 1533-position model. The record is from RNAcentral.